Molecule: ribosomal RNA, 505 nt
Filed under: uncultured bacterium
Lineage: Bacteria
Description: partial 16S ribosomal RNA
Rfam family: Bacterial small subunit ribosomal RNA
Source: RNAcentral
GACGAACGCUGGCGGCGUGCCUAAUACAUGCAAGUAGAACGCACAGUUUAUACCGUAGCUUGCUCCACCAUAAACUGUGAGUUGCGAACGGGUGAGUAACGCGUAGGUAACCUGCCUGGUAGCGGGGGAUAACUAUUGGAAACGAUAGCUAAUACCGCAUAAUAUUGAUUAUUGCAUGAUAAUUGAUUGAAAGAUGCUAUUGCAUCACUACCAGAUGGACCUGCGUUGUAUUAGCUAGUAGGUGAGAUAACGGCUCACCUAGGCGACGAUACAUAGCCGACCUGAGAGGGUGAUCGGCCACACUGGGACUGAGACACGGCCCAGACUCCUACGGGAGGCAGCAGUAGGGAAUCUUCGGCAAUGGACGAAAGUCUGACCGAGCAACGCCGCGUGAGUGAAGAAGGUUUUCGGAUCGUAAAGCUCUGUUGUAAGAGAAGAACGGGUGUGAGAGUGGAAAGUUCACACUGUGACGGUAUCUUACCAGAAAGGGACGGCUAACUACGUG